This 253-nucleotide ribosomal RNA is filed under the name uncultured bacterium. Its description in RNAcentral is "partial 16S ribosomal RNA". It matches the Rfam family "Bacterial small subunit ribosomal RNA", at positions 524 to 776 of the family's 1533-position model. The record is from RNAcentral.
UACGUAGGGGUCUAGCGUUGUCCGGAAUCAUUGGGCGUAAAGAGCGCGCAGGCGGUCGAUCAAGUCGAGUGUGAAAGCCCCCGGCUCAACUGGGGAGGGUCAUUCGAUACUGAUCGACUCGAAGGCAGGAGAGGGUAGUGGAAUUCCCGGUGUAGUGGUGAAAUGCGUAGAUAUCGGGAGGAACACCAGUGGCGAAGGCGACUACCUGGCCUGUUCUUGACGCUGAGGCGCGAAAGCUAGGGGAGCAAACGGG